UACGUAGGUGGCAAGCGUUAUCCGGAUUUAUUGGGUUUAAAGGGUGCGUAGGCGGUCCGUUAAGUCAGCGGUAAAAUUGCGGGGCUCAACCCCGUCGAGCCGUUGAAACUGUCAGACUUGAGUUGGCGAGAAGUACGCGGAAUGCGCGGUGUAGCGGUGAAAUGCAUAGAUAUCGCGCAGAACUCCGAUUGCGAAGGCAGCGUACCGGCGCCACACUGACGCUGAGGCACGAAAGCGUGGGGAUCGAACAGG
RNAcentral lists this ribosomal RNA (252 nucleotides) under uncultured bacterium. RNAcentral's name for it is "partial 16S ribosomal RNA". It matches the Rfam family "Bacterial small subunit ribosomal RNA", at positions 524 to 776 of the family's 1533-position model. The record is from RNAcentral.